AACGAACGCUGGCGGCAUGCCUAACACAUGCAAGUCGAACGAGACCUUCGGGUCUAGUGGCGCACGGGUGCGUAACGCGUGGGAACCUGCCCUUAUGUUCGGAAUAACUCCCCGAAAGGGGUGCUAAUACCGGAUAAUGUCUUCGGACCAAAGAUUUAUCGCCUUUGGAUGGGCCCGCGUUGGAUUAGCUAGUUGGUAGGGUAAAAGCCUACCAAGGCGACGAUCCAUAGCUGGUCUGAGAGGAUGAUCAGCCACACUGGGACUGAGACACGGCCCAGACUCCUACGGGAGGAAGCAGUGGGGAAUACUGGACAAUGGGCGACAGACUGAAACAGCAAUGCCGCGUGAGAGAUGAACGAAUUAGGGUUGUAAAGCUCUUUUACCCGGGAUGAUAAUGACAGUACCGGGAGAAUAAGCUACGGCUAACUUCGUG
Molecule: ribosomal RNA, 433 nt
Filed under: uncultured bacterium
Lineage: Bacteria
Description: partial 16S ribosomal RNA
Rfam family: Bacterial small subunit ribosomal RNA
Source: RNAcentral